RNAcentral lists this ribosomal RNA (497 nucleotides) under uncultured bacterium. Its description in RNAcentral is "partial 16S ribosomal RNA". It matches the Rfam family "Bacterial small subunit ribosomal RNA", at positions 28 to 507 of the family's 1533-position model. The record is from RNAcentral.
GAUGAACGCUGGCGGCGUGCCUAAUACAUGCAAGUCGAGCGAACAGACGAGGAGCUUGCUCCUCUGACGUUAGCGGCGGACGGGUGAGUAACACGUGGAUAACCUACCUAUAAGACUGGGAUAACUUCAGGAAACCGGAGCUAAUACCGGAUAAUAUAUUGAACCGCAUGGUUCAAUAGUGAAAGACGGUUUUGCUGUCACUUAUAGAUGGAUCCGCGCCGCAUUAGCUAGUUGGUAAGGUAACGGCUUACCAAGGCGACGAUGCGUAGCCGACCUGAGAGGGUGAUCGGCCACACUGGAACUGAGACACGGUCCAGACUCCUACGGGAGGCAGCAGUAGGGAAUCUUCCGCAAUGGGCGAAAGCCUGACGGAGCAACGCCGCGUGAGUGAUGAAGGUCUUCGGAUCGUAAAACUCUGUUAUUAGGGAAGAACAAAUGUGUAAGUAACUAUGCACGUCUUGACGGUACCUAAUCAGAAAGCCACGGCUAACUACGUG